CGUGUAGGCGGGAAGGAAAGUCAGAUGUGAAAUCCCCAGGCUCAACCUGGGAACUGCAUUUGAAACUCCCUUUCUUGAGUACCGGAGAGGAAAGUGGAAUUCCUGGUGUAGAGGUGAAAUUCGUAGAUAUCAGGAGGAACACCAGUGGCGAAGGCGGCUUUCUGGACGGUAACUGACGCUGAGACGCGAAAGCGUGGGGAGCAAACA
This 207-nucleotide ribosomal RNA is filed under the name uncultured bacterium. RNAcentral describes it as "partial 16S ribosomal RNA". It matches the Rfam family "Bacterial small subunit ribosomal RNA", at positions 568 to 774 of the family's 1533-position model. The record is from RNAcentral.